AGCUCAAUGAUUGUAUGCCUUUUGGCAAUAUACACUAAACCGAUCUUAAGCAUGAGUAGAUGAUUUUUUUUCCCAAGUAUGAGAGCU
Molecule: non-coding RNA, 87 nt
Organism: Solanum tuberosum (potato)
Lineage: Eukaryota; Viridiplantae; Streptophyta; Magnoliopsida; Solanales; Solanaceae
Source: Rfam